GGUGCGGCCGCCGUCUAAGUUCCUUGGAACAGGACGUCAGAGAGGGUGAGAAUCCCGUCUUGGGCGGGCGGUCCGCGCCCGUGUGAAGCUCCUUCGACGAGUCGAGUUGUUUGGGGAUGCAGCUCUAAGCGGGUGGUAAAUUUCAUCUAAAGCUAAAUAUUGGCCGGAGACCGAUAGCGCACAAGUAGAGUGAUCGAAAGGUUAAAAGCACCUUGAAAAGGGAGUUAAACAGCACGUGAAAUUGUUGAAAGGGAAGCGCUUGCGGCCAGACUCGGGGGCGGGGUUCAGCGGGUGCUCGUCGCCCGUGUAUUCCUCGUCUCCCGGGCCAGCAUCAGUUUCGACGGCCGGUCAAAGGCCCCCGGAAUGUGUCGUCUCUCGGGACGUCUUAUAGCCGGGGGUGCAAUGCGGCCCGUCGGGACUGAGGAACGCGCUCCGGCUCGGAUGCUGGCGUAAUGGCCGUAAGCGGCCCGUCUUGAAACACGGACCAAGGAGUCUAACAUCCACGCGAGUGUUCGGGU
RNAcentral lists this ribosomal RNA (518 nucleotides) under Trichophyton mentagrophytes. RNAcentral's name for it is "LSU rRNA". It matches the Rfam family "Eukaryotic large subunit ribosomal RNA", at positions 167 to 699 of the family's 3401-position model. The record is from RNAcentral. Lineage: Eukaryota; Fungi; Ascomycota; Eurotiomycetes; Onygenales; Arthrodermataceae.